GCAGCGGCGCAGGACGGCGCAGGCGGGGCUCAGGGGGUCCCGCAGGCGCUGGGGGGCCAGGGCCCCCCGCAGGGGCGCGGCGGCCGAGGGGUCCCCCAAAUCCAGCACCACCCCCGGACAGUCCAGGAGCCGAAUGUGCCGGUCCAGCUGCACGGCCUGCAGGCACCUGGGGGCGGGGUCUGAGUGCCACGCCCAAUUCUGGGCGGGGUCAGGGCCAUGCCCACACCUGGGCGGGGUCAGUGCCACACCUGGGCGGGGUCAGUGCCACACCUGGGCGGGGUCAGUGCCACACCCACACCUGGGCGGGGUCAGUGCCACACCCACACCUGGGUGGGGUCAGUGCCACACCUGGAUGGGAUCAGUGGCACACCUGGGUGGGGUCAAUGCCACACCCACACCUGGGCGAGGUCAGUGCCACACCCACACCUGGGUGGGAUCAGUGGCACACCAAAUUCUAGGUGGGGUCAGUGCCACGCCCAAUUCUGGGUGGGGUCAGUGCCAUGCUCACACCUGGGCGGGGUCAGUGCCACACCCAAUUCUGGGCGGGGUCAGUGCCACACCCACACCUGGGCGGGGUCAGUGCCACGCCCAAUUCUGGGUGGGAUCAGUGCCACACCAAAUUCUAGGUGGGGUCAGUGCCAUGCUCACACCUGGGUGGGAUCAGUGGCACACCCACACCUGGGUGGGGUCAGUGCCACACCUGGGUGGGAUCAGUGGCACACCCACACCUGGGUGGGGUCAGUGCCACACCUGGGCAGGGUCAGUGCCACACCUGGGCGGGGUCAGUGCCACACCUGGGCGGGGUCAGUGCCACGCCCAAUUCUGGGUGGGGUCAGUGCCACACCCACACCUGGGUGGGGUCAGUGCCACACCUGGGUGGGGUCAGUGCCAUGCCCACACCUGGGUGGGAUCAGUGCCACACCUGGGUGGGGUCAGUGCCACGCCCACACCUGGGUGGGGUCAGUGGCACACCUGGGUGGGAUCAGUGCCACGCCCACACCUGGGUGGGGUCCGUGCCACGCCCACACCUGGGCAGGGUCAACCCAGGCUCCACCCACAGCCCCCCCGCCCCGUGCAGGUGACCCCACCCCCCAGGUGGGCUCACCUGGUGACCCCGGGCACGGCCCCCACCCCGCAGGCGCGGCUGCGCUUGAGGCUGUUGAUGAGG
RNAcentral lists this long non-coding RNA (1168 nucleotides) under Lonchura striata (white-rumped munia). Its description in RNAcentral is "domestica (Bengalese finch) lncRNA (ENSLSDG00000004673.1)". Lineage: Eukaryota; Metazoa; Chordata; Aves; Passeriformes; Estrildidae. The record is from RNAcentral.